GUCUCUUCGGAGACAUCCGAUAAAAUUGAAACGAGAUAGAGAAGAUUACUAUGGCCCCUGUGCAAGGAUGACACUCACAAAUCAAGAAAUGAUCCAAUAUUUU
Small nuclear RNA from Pistacia vera, 103 nucleotides. The record is from RefSeq and is a predicted model, not a curated record. NCBI's taxonomy places the organism in Eukaryota, Viridiplantae, Streptophyta, Magnoliopsida, Sapindales, Anacardiaceae.